This 511-nucleotide ribosomal RNA is filed under the name uncultured bacterium. RNAcentral describes it as "bacterial SSU rRNA". It matches the Rfam family "Bacterial small subunit ribosomal RNA", at positions 28 to 524 of the family's 1533-position model. The record is from RNAcentral.
GACGAACGCUGGCGGUGUGCUUAACACAUGCAAGUGGUGCGACGAACCAGAGCUUGCUCUGGGGCAAAGCCGCGAACGGGUGAGUAACACGUGGGUAAUCUACCCCGAUGACCGGGACAACCCGAGGAAACUCGGGCUAAUACCGGAUGUGGUACGGAGACAUAAGUCUCUUUACUAAAGGUAGCUUCGGCUUCCGCAUUGGGAGGGGCCCGCGGCCCAUUAGCUAGUUGGUUGGGGUCAAGGCCUACCAAGGCAACGAUGGGUAGCUGGUCUGAGAGGACGAUCAGCCACACUGGGACUGAGACACGGCCCAGACUCCUACGGGAGGCAGCAGUGGGGAAUCUUGCGCAAUGCGCGAAAGCGUGACGCAGCAACACCGCGUGAGGGAAGACGGCCUUAGGGUUGUAAACCUCUUUCAGGUGGGACGAAGGUGAUGCGGUGAAUAGCCGAUGUCAUUGACGGUACCGUCAGAAGAAGCUCCGGCUAACUACGUGCCAGCAGCCGCGGUAAU